Long non-coding RNA from Passer domesticus (house sparrow), 3630 nucleotides. RefSeq lists it as uncharacterized. The transcript is spliced from 7 exons. NCBI's taxonomy places the organism in Eukaryota, Metazoa, Chordata, Aves, Passeriformes, Passeridae. The record is from RefSeq and is a predicted model, not a curated record.
UAAGGUCCCAAUCACUCCCAACCCCUCCCCCUGUUCCUUCUUUUGCCAGGCCACACGGAGGAAGUACAAGAGGUACUUGCAGUGAUUGGAGUGGGCUGAUUAACCUUCACAGCCCUCGGUGCCCCAGAUUUCACCAGCUUACUGAUCUAUAUCUAGGUCAGCUUCAUAAAGCAUCAUUUCUGUUUUAGGGCUUCAUAAAGUAUCAUUUCUGUUUUAGUCUUCAGCAGGGAAGACAGGUGGAGGGGGCUGGAUGAUAAAUGGUGAGACUGCAUGGGUCUCCAAGUGAGUGUUAGUCUGUGGCUUUUACUUAGUGCCUUAAAACUGUUUGCAAAGACAUGUGAAUUGAAGUAAGCCAUGUGUAAGAGACUGAGAUGUUAAUGGCUUAAACUUUGUAAAUCAUUGAAGGACUUUUUCCCCACCAUGGCAAACUGCAAAGGCACAGCAGAAUAUCUGUGAGCACUCAAGCCCACCCCUCCCCAAACAUGCCUAAUACCUGGAAUUUGGAUUGUGACGGGAACUGUAAAAAGGUGAAGGGGUACUACUGUCCAGUUGUCCCAGGUCUAGGGAGGAGAAUGUAUCCACAAGUGACACAGGAAGAGAGACUGGAAUGCUGAUGGUUCAAAUAUUCAGAGGGAAGCUGCAGAAGUGCAGGGGCACAGAGGGUGAGCACAGCCCUCCUCAGGCUCCAGCUGCUGCUGAAUGAGGUAAGGAAAGAGGCAAACCCUGUGUGGUGGGGAAUCGUCUCUGUCCUUACUCCAGCAAACUCUGCUGUGUUAACUCCCCUGCCAGGGAAGUACCAGAACACUCCCAGGUAGCCUGGAGGCCCUCUGCUGAUGGGCCACAAUGGACACAGCUGGCCUGGUGUGAUAGGCAGCUGUAUCUCCUUGGAAGGUGUCAAAGACUCCCGAAAUGUCCUGAGAUUCACAACAUUACAUCACUCAGCUGGAACUCCCUCCUCCAGGGCAGGUAGCUGGGCAUUCCUAUUUGAGCCUGAGUGAAUAUAAACCAGAGUUUGUAUUCUGGGGGUUCCCUCACCACCUGAUGGAUCCAGUCUGUGACUGUCACUUUGACUAAGGCUGUGACCAUCACUUUGACUAAGGCUGUGACCAUCACUUUGACCAGCAAACAUUGAAAUGGCAGCAGCUGAGCCUCUUUACAAUGCCUGUGGGUGAAAGCAAAAGCUGCAGGUCACUGCCCCAAAAGCUUCCUGCUGGAUGAGGGAGUUAUCUAAAUGGAAUGCUCAAACAGAACUGAGAGGAGCAAACCAGAGUAUUGGUUUUUCUGAGCUCACACAGAAAAGCUGCAAGAUCCCACCUCCAGAUGCCAGCCUGUGCCUUUCCCCAGGCUCCCCCUUUCAGGUGUCUGCUCAUGCUUCAUCUGUCACCCCUGAGCACAUGAAAGAAAAAUGCUGCUGAGAGGUGAACAGAUGGCUUCUUUGUGUGUGACUGUGUAAGGAAACCCAUUUCUGCAAACAGGGGAUGUCAGAGUGUUGCUGGAAAGCUGAAGGAUAUCCUCAUGUUUCUGGACGUGCAUGAUGUCAGUACGCACACUUCAAGUGGAACCAGGAGCACUUGGUUUUUCCUCCUUGCUGAUAUCAACAGGAGCUGGUUUGAUCCAGCCCAUGGUAACCCCUGUCCUACCUCAGUCUGGCUUGGAUGGCAAAGAAUCAAUGAUGUGGAAGGGGUGGUGAGCAGAGUGAAAGCAGUAGAGGCUGUGAAUAAUGCUGGGAGAGAAUCAGCUUUAUCUGAGCUGAGAACUGCCUGGAGGAACUCAAUGUGAGCUCUCAGAGUACUCACACACAGUGGGUAAGCAUGGCUGACAAGCAUGGCUUGGUAACUCACAGGUGACUGAGUCAUUUAAUAGAAGGAGAAACAGAGCAGCAGCUUCCUAAUUAGCACAACUUGACACAGCUUGGCAGAGAGCAAAAUUCUGAUAUUGGUUUACCCAGGCCCAGAUGCACUGUGCAGUAAAGGGUAAUUAUUGGGGCAUUAUUGUUUACAGGAUGUGACAACAGUCUCUCCAAAGUCUUGGGGUUCAGACUAAUUUUUUCAUUUCUCAUCUGUCUGGUACUAGCACACUUGUUUUGUCUUAUCCAAGAGAUUCUAGUGAUAACAAGGUCAUCGUAAUUCAUGACAGCCCCUGCAUUUCUGACCUGUAUUUCUCUUGCAGAUUAAGUAUCUAGGCACACAGAAAACCUAUAAAUACAUAGUCUCAUGGAGUAAAGGUGCAGUCUGGGCUAUCAGCCUGGGAUGGAAGAAGAGAGUUAUGCUCUACUCUUUUGGUUUUCUGAAUUGCAGUCCUGCUGAGCACAGCUGGGAAUUGCAGUAAAUCCAAACAUUCAGGACAGAGCUGAAGAUUUCAAUGUGCACUUUGUCAAACACUGCCUCACAUGAGAGAAAGUUUCCCUGACUUGGCUGGAAGAAAUAGUAUCCUGACUGUAUUCUUUAACUCAGACAGGGAAAUGUAAAUAGCUCAGAGCAGGAGUGCCUCGUAUCUGGAGCUACAGAACAAAUGAAUGAGCUGUAAGAAAAGCAGUGAAAGAAUAUUUCUUGCAGCAUCAGAUUGAAGUUACAGACUAUAGAUUUUGUGUCCAAUAGAGUUGAGGAGUGCCUGCAGAUAGGUUGAGCAGGAUCUGACUGAUUCUGAAUAAUCAGAAUUUCCUGACAUGGGCUCAGGGAGCUAGCUUCCCUUAGAAAGGGGAACCAAGAGGAACAAUGACUUCUACACAUCCCUAAUGUAGACACCCACAUUGACUGCAAGGGGAUUUAUGGGUGACCAACACGACUGUACCUGCAUCUAUAAUUAGAUCAUGUAUUUCAUUUGUGAUUUCAUAGCUGCUCACACUCAAGAGUCCAAAACCCCUCAGCUGUGCCCUCCAGGUGGUCACUCAGGGUGGCUUUCCAAGGAGAGUGCUGGCCAGCUGGUUUGUCAGUCCAGAUCCUGCUUCACACUUGCCUUGGCUGCAUAAACUGUCUUACAGAUCAAGAGGUGCUAUCCUGAUGUGGAAAUUCUGUCUGUAUUCCUUUUAUGAUUUUGAUUCUAUUUUCUGAGCUUGCUCCAUGCAUUGAAUUAGACUGAAUGUGUCUGUUCAGGCUAACAAGAGAGAUUACUUGGACUACAUGAAGAUUUGGGCAGUGAACAAGCUAUCUUUGUAAACAGGGUAAAUACGUGACUCCCAUGAAAAACACAAACCCUUAGGGGAAAAAAAAAGGAGAAAAAAGCAGUUUUGAAUUUACUUUCUCUUUCAUCCUCAUCAAAGUAGCUAGCAACACUUGUUACCGCUAUUUAUGAAUUGAACUUGAUUUAAUGAUUGAACAAUCAAUUACCUCCACAUCCUUGGAAUCAAAGUGGUUAGAAAUUAAUCCAGGUGGUUUACAUUUCUGGAACUGGCAACCCAUCUUAAACAAGCUUCCAAACACUGGAAUCUUGUGUUAUUGGCCACUCAGAAAUGACAGAAUUAUUCUGGAAAUAAUCUCUUAAAACAGAACUGAAUUUUUUGCAUUAACUCCACUACUGAGGUCCUUAUCAGCCCGUGGCAGCUUGAGUCGAAUAUAAUCUACAGCAGUCUGAAACAUCAGAGCAUCUGACAAUUCUGUGCCUGAUGAGAGGUAUUUUGGAGCUGUGAAUUGA